CUACGGGUUGCUGCAGUCGGGAAUAUUGCGCAAUGGAGGAAACUCUGACGCAGUGACGCCGCGUAUAGGAAGACGGUUUUCGGAUUGUAAACUAUUGUCGUUAGGGAAGAUAAAAGACAGUACCUAAGGAGGAAGCUCCGGCUAACUACGUGCCAGCAGCCGCGGUAAUACGUAGGGAGCAAGCGUUAUCCGGAUUUAUUGGGUGUAAAGGGUGCGUAGACGGGAAGACAAGUUAGUUGUGAAAUCCCUCGGCUUAACUGAGGAACUGCAACUAAAACUAUAUUUCUUGAGUGUUGGAGAGGAAAGUGGAAUUCCUAGUGUAGCGGUGAAAUGCGUAGAUAUUAGGAGGAACACCGGUGGCGAAGGCGACUUUCUGGACAAUAACUGACGUUGAGGCACGAAAGUGUGGGGAGCAAACAGGAUUAGAUACCCGCGUAGUC
This 440-nucleotide ribosomal RNA is filed under the name uncultured bacterium. RNAcentral's name for it is "partial 16S ribosomal RNA". It matches the Rfam family "Bacterial small subunit ribosomal RNA", at positions 339 to 795 of the family's 1533-position model. The record is from RNAcentral.